Molecule: non-coding RNA, 45 nt
Organism: Schistosoma haematobium
Lineage: Eukaryota; Metazoa; Platyhelminthes; Trematoda; Strigeidida; Schistosomatidae
Source: Rfam
AUUCAGCUGACGAGUACCAAACAGGACCAAACGCGCGUCCUAGAU